CUUGACAUCCAGAGAAUUUAGCAGAGAUGCUUUAGUGCCUUCGGGAACUCUGAGACAGGUGCUGCAUGGCUGUCGUCAGCUCGUGUUGUGAAAUGUUGGGUUAACGUCCGCAACGAGCGCAACCCUUAUCCUUUGUUGCCAGCACGUAAUGGUGGGAACUCAAAGGAGACUGCCGGUGAUAAACCGGAGGAAGGUGGGGAUGACGUCAAGUCAUCAUGGCCCUUACGAGUAGGGCUACACACGUGCUACAAUGGCGCAUACAAAGAGAAGCGACCCCGCGAGAGCAAGCGGACCUCAUAAAGUGCGUCGUAGUCCGGAUUGGAGUCUGCAACUCGACUCCAUGAAGUCGGAAUCGCUAGUAAUCGUAAAUCAGAAUGUUACGGUGAAUACGUUCCCGGGCCUUGUACACACCGCCCGUCACACCAUGGGAGUGGGUUGCAAAAGAAGUAGAUAGCUUAACCUUCGGGAGGGCGUUUACCACUUUGUGAUUCAUGACUGGGGUGAAGUCGUAACAAGGUAAGCGUAGUGCU
Molecule: ribosomal RNA, 530 nt
Filed under: uncultured bacterium
Lineage: Bacteria
Description: bacterial SSU rRNA
Rfam family: Bacterial small subunit ribosomal RNA
Source: RNAcentral